This 548-nucleotide ribosomal RNA is filed under the name Fusarium oxysporum. Its description in RNAcentral is "eukaryotic LSU rRNA". The stretch from base 177 to 330 matches the Rfam family "5.8S ribosomal RNA". Lineage: Eukaryota; Fungi; Ascomycota; Sordariomycetes; Hypocreales; Nectriaceae. The record is from RNAcentral.
CGUUGGUGAACCAGCGGAGGGAUCAUUACCGAGUUUACAACUCCCAAACCCCUGUGAACAUACCACUUGUUGCCUCGGCGGAUCAGCCCGCUCCCGGUAAAACGGGACGGCCCGCCAGAGGACCCCUAAACUCUGUUUCUAUAUGUAACUUCUGAGUAAAACCAUAAAUAAAUCAAAACUUUCAACAACGGAUCUCUUGGUUCUGGCAUCGAUGAAGAACGCAGCAAAAUGCGAUAAGUAAUGUGAAUUGCAGAAUUCAGUGAAUCAUCGAAUCUUUGAACGCACAUUGCGCCCGCCAGUAUUCUGGCGGGCAUGCCUGUUCGAGCGUCAUUUCAACCCUCAAGCACAGCUUGGUGUUGGGACUCGCGUUAAUUCGCGUUCCUCAAAUUGAUUGGCGGUCACGUCGAGCUUCCAUAGCGUAGUAGUAAAACCCUCGUUACUGGUAAUCGUCGCGGCCACGCCGUUAAACCCCAACUUCUGAAUGUUGACCUCGGAUCAGGUAGGAAUACCCGCUGAACUUAAGCAUAUCAAAAUGGGAAGAGAGAAUC